GGGUUUCUACAUUCUCCCCCCCUUAAUAGAAUUCGUCCUCGAAUUCUUGGUUGCGCAAUUGCUCGUCUUCACAACAUUCUCCACUCAUCUCCAUAACCUCUUUACGCUGUCCACCACAGUUCCUUGAGUGUCCUCUUCAAGGCCUCCACAAUUGUCUUCAUAUCUCAUCACUGGAAUGAUCACUGAGUCAUCCUCUUUCUUUUACUCUGCCAUAACACCCUCAUUCCCCAUGAUACUAUCUUGUCCAGAUUCCUCAAAUCCUUUCUCGAUCUUUGUCUUCCCAAUUACUGAUGAAGUCCUUCCCCAAUGAAGUCUUGUUUCCUCCCAUCUGUCCAGUCCAUACAACAGCCCAGUUCUCUGAAUCUGUCUCUCCUCUUUCGCUUCG
This 385-nucleotide long non-coding RNA is filed under the name Brassica napus (rape). Its description in RNAcentral is "long non-coding RNA (BNAP_LNC024741)". Lineage: Eukaryota; Viridiplantae; Streptophyta; Magnoliopsida; Brassicales; Brassicaceae. The record is from RNAcentral.